Molecule: ribosomal RNA, 433 nt
Filed under: uncultured bacterium
Lineage: Bacteria
Description: partial 16S ribosomal RNA
Rfam family: Bacterial small subunit ribosomal RNA
Source: RNAcentral
AACGAACGCUGGCGGCAUGCCUAACACAUGCAAGUCGAACGAGACCUUCGGGUCUAGUGGCGCACGGGUGCGUAACGCGUGGGAACCUGCCCUUAGGUUCGGAAUAACUCUCCGAAAGGGGUGCUAAUACCGGAUAAUGUCUUCGGACCAAAGAUUGAUCGCCCUUGGAUGGGCCCGCGUUGGUUUAGCCAGUUGGUAGGGUAAAAGCCUACCACGGCGACGAUCCAUAGCUGGUCUGAGAGGAUGAUCAGCCACACUGGGACUGAGACACGGCCCAGACUCCUACGGGAGGCAGCAGUGGGGAAUAUUGGACAAUGGGCGAAAGCCUGAUCCAGCAAUGCCGCGUGAGUGAUGAAGGCCUUAGGGUUGUAAAGCUCUUUUACCCGGGAUGAUAAUGACAGUACCGGGAGAAUAAGCUCCGGCUAACUCCGUG